Non-coding RNA from Acanthosepion pharaonis, 114 nucleotides. The record is from the annotation of a GenBank genome assembly. NCBI's taxonomy places the organism in Eukaryota, Metazoa, Mollusca, Cephalopoda, Sepiida, Sepiidae.
UUACGGUCACAUCAUGUUGAAACAUCGUUUCCCGUAAGAACACCAAAGUUAAGCAAUGUCGAACCUGGUCACUAACUAGAUGGGUGACCGCUUGGGAAUAACAGGUGCUGUAAG